AUUGAACGCUGGCGGCAUGCUUUACACAUGCAAGUCGAACGGUAACAGGCCGCAAGGUGCUGACGAGUGGCGAACGGGUGAGUAAUGCAUCGGAACGUGCCCAGUCGUGGGGGAUAACUACUCGAAAGAGUAGCUAAUACCGCAUACGAUCUAUGGAUGAAAGCGGGGGACCGUAAGGCCUCGCGCGAUUGGAGCGGCCGAUGUCAGAUUAGGUAGUUGGUGGGGUAAAGGCUCACCAAGCCAACGAUCUGUAGCUGGUCUGAGAGGACAACCAGCCACAACUGGACUGGGACCACGCCCAGACCCCCUAGGGAGGCAGCAGUGGGGAAUUUUGGACAAUGGGCGCAAGCCUGAUCCAGCAAUGCCGCGUGCAGGAAGAAGGCCUUCGGGUUGUAAACUGCUUUUGUACGGAACGAAACGGCUCUGGUUAAUACCCGGGGCUAAUGACGGUACCGUAAGAAUAAGCACCGGCUAGCUACGUG
This 482-nucleotide ribosomal RNA is filed under the name uncultured bacterium. RNAcentral's name for it is "partial 16S ribosomal RNA". It matches the Rfam family "Bacterial small subunit ribosomal RNA", at positions 30 to 507 of the family's 1533-position model. The record is from RNAcentral.